GAGUGGCCAUCAGCGUCCGGAGGAGCAUCGUGCAGUGAUUCUGUGCAGACGGAAGGAAGUUACGUAAGAGAAGCAUCGAGAAACCCACGUCAGGAACCUCCCACCGGGGCUGAACCAAAUGCCCUGAGUUGCCUCAGCCUCUCCGCAGAGUGGCUGUGACCCGAGGCUGUUCAGCUGUUUCUGCUGUGCUCACUGCUUUGGUGUCUGAGCCUGGAUUGGAACAAAGGAAUCAAAUCGAUUAAGAAAAUAGUUCACGCCCACUGGAAAGGAGGAUGGCUCUUUGAGAACUGGAUGGGUGAGUUUCACUAUUCCUGUGAUUACCUUUGACCUGCAGCUCAGAGUAUAGAAGUACAGCUGCAAGUUCUCG
This is a non-coding RNA of Kogia breviceps (pygmy sperm whale), 367 nucleotides long. Lineage: Eukaryota; Metazoa; Chordata; Mammalia; Artiodactyla; Physeteridae. The record is from RefSeq and is a predicted model, not a curated record.